This 875-nucleotide ribosomal RNA is filed under the name Trimerodytes aequifasciatus (Asiatic annulate keelback). RNAcentral describes it as "Trimerodytes aequifasciata (Asiatic annulate keelback) partial 16S ribosomal RNA". The stretch from base 191 to 307 matches the Rfam family "Bacterial large subunit ribosomal RNA", at positions 714 to 852 of the family's 2925-position model. The record is from RNAcentral. Lineage: Eukaryota; Metazoa; Chordata; Lepidosauria; Squamata; Natricidae.
CACGCAAACAUCCAUAAGAUAUUAAACAAACCAUUUGACAAACCAAGUAGAUGCGAUCGAACAGCGAACAAUCACACAAAGUACCGCAAGGGAAUACACUUAAGCAUAAAAAAGCAAAGACAAAUCCUUGUACCUUUCGCAUCAUGGUUUAGCAAGCAAACCGAGGGCAAGAAGAAUCAAAGCUCACAUCCCCGAAACCAGAUGAGCUACUUUCAAGCAGCCUACCGGGCACACCCUUCUCUGUGGCAAAAGAGUGGGAAGACUUAAAAGUAGAAGUGAAACGCUUACCGAAUCUGGAGAUAGCUGGCUACCUAAAAAAGAAUUUUAGUUCCACUUUAGACCCAAACAUAUAUAAUUAUAAUCUAAAGACAAUCAAUAGGGGUACAGCUCUAUUGAAACAGGAAACAACCUGAAUUUGAGAAAAAACGCCACACACCCAACCAGUGGGCCUUAAAGCAGCCACCAAAUAAAAUAUCGUUAAAGAAUUACACUAAAUAAUCCCAGAACCAAUUAAAAACUCCAAACUAACUAAAGGUGAACCCAUAGUAAUGGGUACCACCAUGCUAAAACUAAUAAUAAGACAACCUCUCUACACGCACCCAUCCACUAGAAACGGAAAACCCACUAGCCAUUAACAGACCACAAUAGGAAUCAACCAAACAAUAUCCACCUUUAUACAAACUGUGACACCAACACAGGUGCGUUAAAAAGAAAGAUCAACCAUUAUAAAAGGAACUCGGCAACCAAGAACCCCAACUGUUUAACAAAAACAUAACCUUUAGCCAAACAAAUAUUAAAGGCAACGCCUGCCCAGUGAACAAUUAAACGGCCGCGGUACCCUAACCGUGCAAAGGUAGCAAAAUCAUGAGACAGAC